This is a long non-coding RNA of Mastomys coucha (southern multimammate mouse), 6000 nucleotides long. RefSeq lists it as uncharacterized. The transcript has 3 exons. NCBI's taxonomy places the organism in Eukaryota, Metazoa, Chordata, Mammalia, Rodentia, Muridae. The record is from RefSeq and is a predicted model, not a curated record.
GCCCCGCCUAACAGAAAAGUCUCCGAUUACGAUUACUAUCACUCGGAAAGGGGUGCAGGGACCAGAGGCGGGUCUGAGCCCCGCAGACCAAGCCGCCUUGAACCUGAGGCGCAGGCAAGCCACUGCGCGGGCGCCAACUGCAAGCACAGCCCAACCCGGCGCCACCUUAAGUCAAACAAAGUCAAUCUAGGCAACCUGCAGGGUACAGCCCACAGAAACGAAACCACAACGAGGCCCUCUGAAGAACCUUCUCAGCAGACUUUCUGCCAUUACUGCUUUUCUGAGGUGAUGCAGUUAGUAAAUCCACGAAAGGAAGAUUUAUCAGAGUACCGUGGUGCAAGACAUUGUGGGAGGAAGGUACACAGGUAAACACUACCCCAGGAUCCCUGGUCUUGAGAGCUUUACAUUCCUGCGGGAGAGAACAGCAAUCACCUUCAAAACUUACUUUGAUUUGUUUAUUGAUGCCUCUCAAGUUUUGGUUCUCUCCAAUUGCUACUCUCACCUACUUCUACCAAAAAGAAAUCCUCUAUAGAAAAUGACAAUGACCAAAAUAUAUCCGUGGGAAAUAAUUGACCCUAGUCCUAUCCUCUUCCUACUUUUCCCCUCAUUACAACUGGCAGGUCUGUAAUAAACUUGGCACUUCCAGCUUGGAACCCUGCAACCAUCACUAGAGAAGGUAAUUUCAGCGUGGUAAUACUCAGGUCUGUGGAGACAGGAAGAAUAAUCAGUGAGGCUAACCUGGUCUGUACAUUACAAAUUCCAGAUCACCAGCUCUAUACUGCAAGGUUCUAAUUAAAAAUCUCCUUCCCAAAGGACUCCAGGCCAGGGCCAGGGACAACGGCAAAGACUGUUAGCUGUUCAUCCCUCAACAAUCUCAGCUCCUGUUUGCCACACAGCUGUGUUUCUAAUGUCUACAUUGUCAAUUUUUGGCUCCCAAGUCAGACCCAACCAAAAGACAUUUUUACAUCCAAGACAUAGAAUAUGUAGAAUAUAUUCUAAAGCCCUCCUGUCUCGGCCAAUGGUAACUGAAGCUAGUGAGACCAUGAAAUACUAGGUCUUAGAAGACACACAUUAGGAUUCUCAAAACCUAAUUUUGGAGACAGCCAAGCAAGCUUCCUCAUUACACGGUCUUAAUAAGAAAGCCUUGACUCUCAACCUUGGCUGUUAAUACUGAGAAAUAAUACCUAUCUCUACAAAACCACUAAAGUUAGAUGUGAAAGUACUCAUAGUGUUCCAAGCUCACCUCUCCUUAUACUCUGUCUCCCAUCACAAUAAGACUACAAAGUAUAAUGGGACAUUAUUUCAAAAGGGGAUCUUUUUAACAGACCCUACUUCACUGUUAAAUAUGCCAAUGAUGUGGUGAGUCCAUCUCUGAGUGUCCAGCUAUAUAGCACACAAAAUAAGAUUGCAAAGUGAUCUACCAUCCAACAAUGUUUUUGGUUUUGUUUUGUUUUUUAAUUUUUACGCCAUUCAGUUAUCAUCCUUUUCAGCUCUCGUUAGUAUGGGAAUAUAUAUUAAACAAGCUUUCUAAUUAGUCAGAUUCCAUACAGUGUAAUGGAAAGAUAAGAACUAGUGUAGCCACACUCAAACCUUAAAAGCAUAGACUGAAAAACCAUAGAGUGAAAUCACUGAGGCUGAAGAAGGGUUUAAACCCACAGAGUCAUCCAUUUGGUGGCAUGGGGGCCAAAGAAAAAAUGAGAGACAACUCUGAAGGUCCACUCAGAGCUGAAGAUCUAACUCAGUAGCUGGGGAAAAGUAGAGUACAGCCAGUUUGGACGGUAUUUACUGCACACACGCUGUUUUAGAGGAUUGGAAGAAAACUACAGAGUUCCUAGACAAAGGUUAUAGGACAAAUUACAGGCAAACAGUCAAAUACUCAGAAAACACAAAGAUUUCAGAGAACAAGGAGGCCACACCUAGCGAGGAAGGGUCAGUGGGGAGAACCCUAGGAAACGCUGACAUCUGGACUGGCUCCUGAAACACAGACAGCCAGCAUGCUAGAGAGAAGAUGAAGCUUCCUCACCUAACUGCCAAAGGAACAGAACAGGCAAUGGGACUGGCUAGCUGCAUCACAAAGGAACUGCCAUUGUGGGAGAAGAGCAUGAAAACAAGCUAGAAUCAAGCAUGGGCUUGGAAAAUUAAGAGUCAGAGGAGAAGAAAAGAGACUGCUCUGGGCUUUAGCAGUGAAUAACCUGGCAGAUAGGAGACACUGAAGGCAGCAAGACACCUGAGCGAUUACUGCGACUGUCCAGGUCAAAGGGCCCAUUAGGGUGUGGCAAUAGGACUAGAAAGGAAUGGACUGAUGUAAGAAUUCACCUGCAGAACCCGUUACUAAUCAAAUACGAGACAUUCAAAGGAUAGUCAAGGAAGAUUGGCGUUAGAGCUGGCUGGGGGGUAUGAUAAAGGAAUGAUGAGCAUCCUCUUCUGACAGGCCAACUCUCUUGUCACCUGCAACACCAGGUGACACAUCCAUAGUGGUCAGGAAUGAAGUAGACGUCAAAGCUGAAGACUGACUCUGGAGCACGAGGGCAAGAGUGGAUUUAGUGGAGUAACAUCUAGGAAGGGAGGAAUAAGGCAAGAAGCUAAGCAGGGAUCUGGGGAAGAUAGGGCCUUGGGAAAGAAAACAGAUGACUGUAGGUAUAGCUAAGGGGUACUAGAACUUACCCACAAGACAGCCAAAACUGAAGAGAAAAACAACCAGGGAAUGAAAAUGCAAUAAAGAAGGGACAUACCCAAGGAGGAAUAGAGACGGACAGCAUCAAAUGCUGCAAAAGGGAUGUAAGGAAGCCAGUAUGCCAGGGGUGGAUUAGAGCAACGGGUCCAAACCAGCAGAAGCUAGGUUACCCGGAUGAACAGAGAAGGGGUGAUGGAGACAUGUGAAUGGAGCCAGGAGAAGAGAUUCUGAGUAGGGCCCAGUCAAGCCUGAUGUCUAUGCUCACGUUUCAGCUAGUCUGAGUUGGCACAGGUAGGAAGGGAAAGGUGAAUGAAUAGCUCAAGGUUGAGCCAUCAGCCUUAGCCAAGAGGAGGCACACCCUUGGUCAGGGAAAGGAUGAAGGUGGUCUGAAUAAAACAAAAGGCCCCAGAGUCUCACCCUCAGUCUUACUUAUAGUUAACUUAGAAUUAGAAUCUCCAAGACCCUAACCAGUUGCAGGAAAAUGUGCAUGUCCAUGAGAGUGUUAAAAGAGAGUUUUCAGCGUGUUUAACCAGCUUUCUGUAGUAACAGAUUGUGCAAUUUUAAUUUAUCCCAUUUUUUUUCUCAUCUAAAAACUGCCAUUGCUCACCCUGGUAGGAGGCUAACUCUGAUAAAUAGUUGUGCCUGCCUUCUCACUGCAGUCAGAUUCCAGGAUGAAAUACAGACAGACAUGGCUGGCCUUGCCAUGCCAUGAGCUACAGGAACAAAACAACUGAAGCCAAUACAAGCUGCACCUGUGAUAAAAGAUACAACCAGAUUCCUGGAGUGAACUGUAGACAGAAGCAAUUAGAAGCAACAGGGCACGGUAGAAGGACAGAACAUUUGGUGCAUAGAUUCAUCCUAAUAUCCAAGUGCCAUCAAGAAACUUCGUAAUUUUGUGUAUUGGCUUCUGACUUUCUCAGGGCCUUGUGGUCCUUGUCCAUAAACCAAACAGGUUGGAAUCUAUAGUUGUAAAAAUUUCCAUAUAUCCUAAAAUAAUUCAUCUGUGAUAUGAAUGCCCCAAGCUUGGGUUUCAUUUGUUAUAACUUUACUCUCAAUUACCAGUCUUCACCUACCAUUGUAUGUGAAUGGUUAUUGUGGUGGUUUAAAUGAGAACAGCCUCAAUAGGCUCAUAGAUUUGAAUGCUUGGUCCUCAGCUGGUAGAACUGCUUGGGAAGGAUUAUGAGGUGUGGCUUGCUGGAAGGAGUAUGACACUAGAGGCAGGCUUUCAAAAACCCAAGCCACUCUAGUUACAUCUAUCUCUAUGCCUUGUGCUUGUGGAUCAGAUGUGAGCUCCAGCUACUGUUCCAGUGCCCUGCCUGCCUACCUGCUGCCGCGUUCCCUCCCACCAUGAUGGUUAUGGAUUCACCCUCUAGAACUGGACUAUGAAGAGAAAAGAUGAAGAAACCGCAUUAAACAGGCACCUGGAAAGAGGGGAGUGUGACAGGGGCCUUACCAUGGAGCCAGGCUUUGUCUCCUAACAGCCAGAGCUAACCCAUCCAUUCUACCAGCCCUGCCCACCUCACCACCGCACCAACACUUUCUCCUCUGUUGACAGGCACACUCUUCCAAGGGUAGAAGUGUGGGAGAUGCAAACACCAGCAAGCAGUGAUGGGUCCGCAGCAGAGACAGCGAGAGCUACAGGAGGCACCACUUCAAGUGGAUCUACACCCAGAUUGGGCCUUUCUGCUGGGAAAGAGCUAAGCAGAGUGUGUGUGCAUGCCUUCCUGACACAACUACUCUGUUUCUAUGCGAUUUUAAUGUCUUUUCUAACCAAGUCUCUGUCAACGUGUCACACUAACAUGAGAAUUUGAGUUUCUGUUUAUUAACAAGAAGUAGGAGGUACUAUCUCUUGCUCUUUGAAAACAGACCCAAUUGCAGGGACAGGGAACGUAUGUAGCCCUGGCAUGUUAGCAUGUGCAAUGUCUUUAGGAUGCAGUCAUUUCUUCCUGCACCUGAGCGUCUGAUGAUUUCUCAGUGAGAUAGCACAGCCUCCUCCCACAGGACCUUGAUAUGCAGACACUCACUGCGUCCAGGCUCUAAAUAAUUCAAGGAUGGCUCUGUCACUCAGGAGCACCAAGGCCCACCAGCUGCUUGUGUGGUGGGAGCCAGGCUCUAUGUUUAAAUACUAUCAGGUACCUCUGAGACCACUUCUAGAAAAUACUAUAAUCCUCUUUAUUUUCUCUUACUUUAAGCAACAUAAUUUCCAGUUUGAAAGAGGAUAGGUUCUCAAGUAAAUGAGUAGGGAGAGAGUGGCUUCCUUAAACAAGUAGAUGGUCACGGUAUCCUUCCCGACUCAGGAUUCCGGGAUGACACAGCAGAGCAGCAGACACAGCCUGCCUUCCUCCAGCCUGCCUCGAGCUUUCCAGAUCUGAUCCUGGGAUUCCUUCUCCUCUCAGUCUAUAAUAAUCCAACACCAGCAGAGAAGCAACCAACUAAAUAACAGAGGACUGAUAAUCUUUGUGUCCCUUUCUGCUGAACUUGAACUAGCUCAAAGAAUUGAGACCUAGACUACUACACUGUCCGUUUCCAUCUCCGCAUGCUGAGCAGAGCUGAGAACACAGGUCCCUAACAGACCCUACUGUUCAAAGACCCCUUUGAUCAAUUCUCUAGACUGACCUGACCUUGCCUGCAUUGUUCUUAGGAAGUCCCGAGGGAAAUUGCCUCUUAAAUUACCAUCUACUCACAAAAACAUGAUUCGAAACCAUAACAUUACCUUUCUAUUACUGACAGGGUCUCAAGUAGCAAAGGCUAGCUUAAAGCUCAUUGUGUAGUUGAGGAUGACCCAGAAGUUCUGAUCCUCCUGUUCUCAACUCCAAGUGGUAAGAUUACUGGCAUGAGCAGUCACUUCCAGUUUGUGAUACUGAGGGUCCAGCUUAUGGCUUUGGGCAUGUCAGGAAAGCACUGGUCUACACCCCAGCCUCCCUUUAUACCCUUAUAUAAAAUAUCUUAUAAAAGCUCCAGUAAAGGAUGUGCAGGACCCCGGAACUUGUUUAAACCAGUGGAGACAGGUAAAUGAUCUCAGGACAUGAAAAUAAUACGAAGUUCUUCAAAACUCUAACCCAGAGCCACCACAUGGUACAGAAAUUCCAUGUCUGGGAAAUAACGCAGAGGCUCAAACAUGACGUUUACACAUCCUGCUUAUUGCAACAUUCAACAAAGCGGUCAAGAAAUGGGAUUGAACCCAAUAUAUCACUGUAAGAACAGAUGGAGGAAAUCUGCAAGCAGGGGACCUCAGUUCUAUUCUCAGAGCCUACAUUAAAAGCAAGCAAAGUGGUGGUGCGGACUUGUCAUCCUAGCCCUGGAGAGUUGAGCAAAGUGGUGGUGCG